This is a long non-coding RNA of Alligator mississippiensis (American alligator), 1034 nucleotides long. RefSeq lists it as uncharacterized. The record is from RefSeq and is a predicted model, not a curated record. The transcript has 3 exons. Lineage: Eukaryota; Metazoa; Chordata; Crocodylia; Alligatoridae.
UUUCCCCAGCCUGAUUGCAGUGCCGGGGAGGGGAACUGAGUCUAGGCUCAGUUCCCUUCCCCUGCACUGUUAUUGGCUUCCCAUAGCCCUGCGGCAGCAGACGUAGAGAGCCAGGGCUGUGCUCCCAGCUGUUAGUGGGAGCAUAGCUCUGAUUCUCCUCUGUCUUUCACCACCUUGCUGCUGGCUGCUUUGAAACUCAAAACAUUUAAAAACUUUUGAAACAUUUUGACUAGCCUUGUUUUGUUUCAAGGCUGUUUUGAAGCCCUUCAUUUUGAUUCGAUUUCACUGUUUUGAGCUCGAAAUGAGUUGAAAGUGUCAAAUUGAAACAGCCAGUGAAAUUUUGCACAGCCCUAAUACACAUGGCUCCAGGCAGUGUGGAGAGCAGCUCCUGCAUGAGGUGGCUGGCUUCCUGGCGGUAAGAAAAGGAUGGAUAUGGUGUGAUGCGACAGCACAUGAAAAAUGUGAGGCCUGCAACAAUGCCCUUGUGCUAAAUUGGGUGGUUUCAAGGCUGAGGAGGAAGGAGGCUUGAACAGAACAGUCAGACUACUACAAGAUCCUCUCAUGGCUGAGACACUGACAGAGAAGUGGCUACCACAGGAAUAACAACUGCUUUGCAUCCUUCAGAGCAAGGGUGAAAGGCAACUAUUGAAGCUCUUGGCCUCUCCUUGCAGAAGAUGGUGAAGAAAACCCUAUAAGCCAAGCACAUGGGGCACAUACCCCAAGAGUGCAGACCAACAUACCACUUGAACCAUUUCCAGAAUGUCACUGAUUGGGAAAUGGUCCACAAUUGACAUAGGUCAGAGAUGUCCACUCUUAACAUUGCCAAGGGUCCAAGAAGAAGGGUCAUCUUUAGGCACUGGAGUCUCCUGGUUGUGAUCCUCUGGAGUUUCCCCACAAUUCCCUAAGCAAAAGAGGAAGACCCCAAUUGGCUGAACACCAAGGAAAAUGAACAGGAAGAUGUCAACUGCAUGCAAAUGAAAUGCUCUGUUUUCCUUUCUCUCCUACACUUGAGUUCAAUAAAGAAGGUUCCUGUA